UUUUUAAUUGUGUAACAACAAAUUGGCUGAAUUCUGACGCUAGUAUGUAGAAACUCUCAAUCCAGAUUACUCGAGUCAACUUCGUACUUCACACAAUGAGAGGAAGUUGAUUGAAGUCUUCUCACAAAACGUUAUGGAAAUAAUACUUAGGUGGUUCGGACAGCCCCAUUCAUGCGUGUACAAUGUUGAACAAAAUCAGAAAGAUUCAAGUGUCAACUUCAACUUCGAAGUUUCAACUUGGGCUGGAAGCUUCAAGUGUGCAACUGUUCUCAACGGAGAAGGACUUUAUUGAUGCUUCUACUUCUUUUGCAUUGAAGGCUGGAGGCGUGGGACUGGGACAUGGAUGGAUUGUGCGAGACGCGACGCAAGGUUCAUGCUACACAGAGCACCAACAAAUGCUGACCUACAAGACCAUUCAAGAAUGUCAAUUGUGUUCUACCAGCAUAAAGGGCUCAAUAAGGACAAGGACAACCAUGGGUCUCCUCACUUGGCUCAGCUUUAUUGCAAAAUGCGAGACGACUGGAUGACUACAUCAGAAUGGUCAGAGUAAUGAGUGGGCGAAUGGUGGUUGAACGUCAUCUUCUUGCCUCAAGGAACCCAUAUCUGCAUCAGGUCAAUGUAGCUGAAAUUCGGCUGGCAAGUUAGUUUUCGGCAUAGCAACCACCCGGACACCAUGGUGACCAAGGGUCAGCACUCGUGUAUGAUCACAGGCUGGAGGCGUGGGACUGGGACAUGGAUGGAUUGUGCGAGACACAAGGCUCAUGCUACCCAGAGCACCAACAAAUGCUGACCUACAAGACCAUUCAAGAAUGUCAAUUGUGUUCUACCAGCAUAAAGGAGAAGGACAACCAUGGGUCUCCUCACUUGGCUCACAACUGUACAACUCACUACUUCAUCAAGAUAAUGUAGCUGAAAAUUAACUGGCAACAGAAGUUUUGCAGAGAAUCUACAUGCAAAGUAUCCACCAGGUCAACAUGGUGACCAAGGAUCAGUACUACCCAGCGAGUAAAUACUAAUCA
This 1019-nucleotide unclassified non-coding RNA is filed under the name Nilaparvata lugens (brown planthopper). Its description in RNAcentral is "uncharacterized LOC111058355, transcript variant X10". Lineage: Eukaryota; Metazoa; Arthropoda; Insecta; Hemiptera; Delphacidae. The record is from RNAcentral.